GAGUUUGAUCAUGGCUCAGAACGAACGCUGGCGGCAUGCCUAACACAUGCAAAGUCGAACGAGACCUUCGGGUCUAGUGGCGCACGGGUGCGUAACGCGUGGGAAUCUGCCUUUCGGUUCGGAAUAACUCAGAGAAAUUUGAGCUAAUACCGGAUGAUGUCGCAAGACCAAAGAUUUAUCGCCGAAAGAUGAGCCCGCGUAGGAUUAGCUAGUUGGUGAGGUAAAGGCUCACCAAGGCGACGAUCCUUAGCUGGUCUGAGAGGAUGAUCAGCCACACUGGGACUGAGACACGGCCCAGACUCCUACGGGAGGCAGCAGUGGGGAAUAUUGGACAAUGGGCGAAAAGCCUGAUCCAGCAAUGCCGCCGUGAGUGAUGAAGGCCCUAGGGUUGUAAAGCUCUUUUUA
This 405-nucleotide ribosomal RNA is filed under the name uncultured Alphaproteobacteria bacterium. Its description in RNAcentral is "bacterial SSU rRNA". It matches the Rfam family "Bacterial small subunit ribosomal RNA", at positions 9 to 439 of the family's 1533-position model. The record is from RNAcentral. Lineage: Bacteria; Pseudomonadati; Pseudomonadota; Alphaproteobacteria.